RNAcentral lists this ribosomal RNA (625 nucleotides) under Erysiphe australiana. RNAcentral's name for it is "eukaryotic LSU rRNA". The stretch from base 214 to 367 matches the Rfam family "5.8S ribosomal RNA". Lineage: Eukaryota; Fungi; Ascomycota; Leotiomycetes; Helotiales; Erysiphaceae. The record is from RNAcentral.
CUGAGCGUGUGAGACCAGCCGUCGUGGCAUCUGCUACGUGCGCGCUGCGUCGAACCCCUCCACCCGUGCCGACUUUAAUGUUUUGUUGCUUUGGCGGACCGGACUCAUUCGCUGUUGCGUUGUGAGGCCACCGGCUUAGGCUGGAGCGCGUCCGCCAGAGACUUAGCCCAACUCGUGUUGUCAUAUAGUCUAAGGUUUUUUAAAUAUAAAUAAAACUUUCAACAACGGAUCUCUUGGCUCUGGCAUCGAUGAAGAACGCAGCGAAAUGCGAUAAGUAAUGUGAAUUGCAGAAUUUAGUGAAUCAUCGAAUCUUUGAACGCACAUUGCGCCCCUUGGUAUUCCGAGGGGCAUGCCUGUUCGAGCGUCAUAUCAACCCUCUCUCGAGCCACUGUUUGUGUGGCUGCGGUGUUGGGGCUCGUCGAUCAAACUAGACCGACGGCCCUUAAGACAAGUGGCGGUCUCGGUGUAGGCUCUACGCGUAGUAUUUGUUUCUCGCGACAGAACGACACUGAUGGCUGGCCAAAGGAUAAACGAAGCAAGAAAUUGUGUCGCAGCCGCGGCGCGAUUUUAAUCAAAGGUUGACCUCGAAUCAGGUAGGGAUACCCGCUGAACUUAAGCAUAUCAA